CCUACGGGAGGCAGCAGUGAGGAAUAUUGGUCAAUGGGCGAGAGCCUGAACCAGCCAAGUCGCGUGAGGGAUGACGGUCCUAUGGAUUGUAAACCUCUUUUGUCGGGGAACAAAGGCGUCCACGUGUGGACUGAUGAGUGUACCCGAAGAAAAAGCAUCGGCUAACUCCGUGCCAGCAGCCGCGGUAAUACGGAGGAUGCGAGCGUUAUCCGGAUUUAUUGGGUUUAAAGGGUGCGUAGGCGGACAGUCAAGUCAGCGGUAAAAAUGCGGUGCUCAACGCCGUACAGCCGUUGAAACUGGCAGUCUUGAGUGGGCGAGAAGUAUGCGGAAUGCGUGGUGUAGCGGUGAAAUGCAUAGAUAUCACGAAGAACUCCGAUUGCGAAGGCAGCCUACUAAACUGCCACUGACAUUGAUGCUCGAAAGUGUGUGUAUCAAACAGGAUUAGAUACCCUUGUAGUC
This 459-nucleotide ribosomal RNA is filed under the name uncultured bacterium. Its description in RNAcentral is "partial 16S ribosomal RNA". It matches the Rfam family "Bacterial small subunit ribosomal RNA", at positions 338 to 795 of the family's 1533-position model. The record is from RNAcentral.